This 253-nucleotide ribosomal RNA is filed under the name uncultured bacterium. RNAcentral describes it as "partial 16S ribosomal RNA". It matches the Rfam family "Bacterial small subunit ribosomal RNA", at positions 524 to 776 of the family's 1533-position model. The record is from RNAcentral.
GACAGAGGUGCCGAGCGUUAGGCGGAAUCACUGGGCUUAAAGCGUGUGUAGGCGGAUCGGUAAGUGCCUUGUGAAAUCCCACGGCUCAACCGUGGAACUGCUUGGCAUACUGGCGGUCUUGAGCCACUUAGGGGCUACCGGAACAAAUGGUGGAGCGGUGAAAUGCGUAGAUAUCAUUUGGAACGCCAAUGGUGAAAACAGGUAGCUGGGAGUGUGCUGACGCUGAGACACGAAAGCCAGGGGAGCGAACGGG